Molecule: transfer RNA, 96 nt
Filed under: Actinomadura citrea
Lineage: Bacteria; Bacillati; Actinomycetota; Actinomycetes; Streptosporangiales; Thermomonosporaceae
Description: tRNA-Leu
Source: RNAcentral
CGCCGUCCGGGCCGCGGUGGCCGGGCAGGGCGUCCAAGGCGUGCCGGACGAUGCGGGUGAUGUCGGCGCUCAACUGUUCCACGCGUUUGGCGGUGA